Molecule: ribosomal RNA, 392 nt
Filed under: Mistshenkoana sp. Van
Lineage: Eukaryota; Metazoa; Arthropoda; Insecta; Orthoptera; Gryllidae
Description: partial 12S ribosomal RNA
Source: RNAcentral
UAUUAUUUAAUAUGUAAUUGUUGGAUUGGAGUAGUAAUAGUUAAGUUCUAUAAACUCAAAGAAUUUGGCGGUAUUUUAGUCUUUUCAGAGGAAUCUGUCCUGUAAUCGAUAAUACACGAUUGGUUUGAUUUAAUUAAAUUGUUUGUAUACCGCCGUCAUAAGAAUAUUUUAAAGAGAGUUAAAAUUUUCUUGAGUUUAUAUUGAAAAGUAUGUCAGGUCAAGGUGCAGCUUAUGAUUAAAUGGGAGAUGGAUUACAAUAGGUGAACUUAAAUGGAUUUAAAUAUUAAAUGAUUUAUUGAAGGUGGAUUUGAUUGUAAAUUUUAUUUAAUUGUUGUUUUGAUUUUGGCUCUAAAAUGUGCACAUAUCGCCCGUCGCUCUCGUUAUGUAAUGAG